GACGAACGCUGGCGGCGUGCUUAACACAUGCAAGUCGAACGGAAAGGCCCUGCUUUUGUGGGGUGCUCGAGUGGCGAACGGGUGAGUAACACGUGUGUACCCUGCCCUUCACUUUGGUAUAACUUCAGGAAACUGGGGCUAAUACCGGAUAGGAGCUCCUGCUGCAUGGUGGGGGUUGGAAAGUUUCGGCGGUUGGGGAUGGACGCGCGGCUUAUCAGCUUGUUGGUGGGGUAGUGGCUUACCAAGGCUUUGACGGGUAGCCGGCCUGUGAGGUGGACCGGCCAAAUGGGAAUUGGGAUACGGCCCAGACCCCAACGGGGGGCACCAGUGGGGAUAUUUCCAAAAGGGGCGGAAGCCGGAUGCAGCAAGCUCGCGUGGGGGAUGAGGGCCUUCGGGUUGAAACCCGCUUUCGCCUGGGACGAAGCGUGAGUGACGGUAACGGGUAAAGAAGCACCGGCUAACUACGUG
This 468-nucleotide ribosomal RNA is filed under the name uncultured bacterium. RNAcentral's name for it is "partial 16S ribosomal RNA". It matches the Rfam family "Bacterial small subunit ribosomal RNA", at positions 28 to 507 of the family's 1533-position model. The record is from RNAcentral.